RNAcentral lists this ribosomal RNA (440 nucleotides) under uncultured bacterium. RNAcentral describes it as "partial 16S ribosomal RNA". It matches the Rfam family "Bacterial small subunit ribosomal RNA", at positions 338 to 795 of the family's 1533-position model. The record is from RNAcentral.
CCUACGGGUGGCUGCAGUGGGGAAUAUUGCACAAUGGGGGAAACCCUGAUGCAGCGACGCCGCGUGAGUGAAGAAGGACUUCGGUAUGUAAAGCUCUGUCAGCAGGGAAGAAAAUGACGGUACCUGACCAAGAAGCCCCGGCUAACUCCGUGCCAGCAGCCGCGGUAAUACGUAGGGGGCAAGCGUUAUCCGGUUGUACUGGGUGUAAAGGGAGCGUAGACGGCAGGGCAAGUCUGGCGUGAAAGGCGGGGGCUUAACCCCCGGACUGCUGUGGAAACUGCCAGGCUGGAGUGUAGGAGAGGUAAGUGGAAUUCCAGGUGUAGCGGUGAAAUGCGUAGAUAUUAGGAGGAACACCAGUGGCGAAGGCGGCUUACUGGACUGUAACUGACGUUGAGGCGCGAAAGCGUGGGGAGCAAACAGGAUUAGAUACCCUUGUAGUC